UCCCCGGUAGCUCAGAAGUUAAAGCGUCUGCCUGUAAUGUGGGAGACCAAGGUUCGAUCCCUGGUUUGGGAA
RNAcentral lists this transfer RNA (72 nucleotides) under Bos taurus (domestic cattle). It matches the Rfam family "tRNA". From Rfam's summary of the family: Transfer RNA (tRNA) molecules are approximately 80 nucleotides in length. Their secondary structure includes four short double-helical elements and three loops (D, anti-codon, and T loops). Lineage: Eukaryota; Metazoa; Chordata; Mammalia; Artiodactyla; Bovidae. The record is from Rfam by way of RNAcentral. RNAcentral also lists the same sequence under 1 other name.